AUCACCACGGAUUGCUAACUGCAAAUGCCUAGGAGUUAUACGUUUCACCUUCAGAUCCUUGCUUGCAUUUCCUGCCAGCUCUAACACUUCUGCGGUCAGGUACUCCAAGAUAGCAGCAGAGUAAACAGCUGCCGUUGCACCCACUCUUCCAUGGGCUGUUGCUCUUGACUUCAGAAGGCGGUGGAUUCGCCCAACAGGAAACUGCAAGGAUGAUACAGAAGGAAAUAGAUGGUCAAAUCUUUUAUGUUUAUGGACAACUACAAAUGGCUAGCUCUAAAAAUUAAACACUUUGAUGAAAAUGGGUCAUUCGCUUACAAGUCAUGGGUUAAAGUCACAAAUUCCUAGAACACACUCCUCCCCUACUAGUACACACAAAAGGUAACAAUAAUCAAAUCCUCAACACCAUGAUGGCCAAAUAGCAAAAAUACUACAAUCAGUAGUCAUGCACAAUGAUACACUAUAGUUGUAACCAGGGUCAAGACUAGAACCUACAACCAAGAAGCAACUAUUAGAGAAAUCUUAUGGUGCUCAAACUAUAACUAGUGACAUCCUAUUAGUUACAACUUGGACCCAUUUAUUUGUAUACCAUGUCAUUAAAAAAUCCAUGUCAACAAAAAAUAAAUCUUCCCUCUUCUUUUCAUCCAUGUAAUGAAAAGUCCCUAAAAUAUCACAGCCCAUCCCCCUUCCUCUCUCUCACAUGGCAUAGCUAGCAGCCCUUCCUCUCUCUUGCAUGGCGCAGCCAACAGCCGCCACUCUCAUUUAGGUCAAUCCCAAAACAAAUGCUAUUGAAAUUUGAAAUAUCAAGAGAAUCUAAUUUGAUUGGAAAAAUUGGGACUUGAAUUGAUUAAAUAGUAAUAUUUUAUUGUACUAACACGGGAGAGAUUUGUUCAAAGGUAUACUGGAAUGUCAUUCAAAAACUCCUCUAAUAGUGUCCUCUCAUGAUAUAAUCUGUUCUAGAGCGGCUUUGAAAUCUUAUUAAAAACAUUCAUCUGAUCCCUUUGUUUACUUCUCCCAGAAGCAGGAUCAAGAGAAAGCGGGUGAGGAAGAAGACCCAAUUGAUGUCUUAAAGGCUAUAGGUGAAGUUGGGAAAGGGUUAGUAAAGAGUGUACAUUUUCUCAAGGCUCCAAGGCUCAUGAAUUAAGCCUUACUUUUCUCUAGGCCUAGAAUAGGAAUCAUGAAAUUCCUUGUAAGCAUUCCUGUUUCCUUUUCAACACAGUAGACAAAUCUAACACGACAGUAAGACAGAAAUGUAGUGGUUUGCAGUUGCAAUCUGUAUUUAUGUUUGUUCCGGCAAGUGCAAUUUCUCAGAAUUUAUUUUUUUAUGUUGCUGACAUGGGUUUUUUAAUGACAUGACAUACUAAUAAAUGGGACCAAGCUGUAACUUGUAGGAUGCCACUGGUUAAAAUUUCUCAACUGUGUUAUAGCUGUGUGUAUCUCUCUGAACAUGUGAUCUAAAACAAAGUUUUAAAGUUAGUACGAGAUGAGAUGCAUGUACAACAAGUAGCCUAGGACAUCUAAAAGACAGCACUCAUGAGAAGCAUAUAGAACCAUUUUUUUUUUGUGCAAAUUUAUGAUAAGGUAAGCAACAUAGGCAACACAAAAGAAGUGCAAAUAUAUCCGCAGAACUUUAGAUAACAUCAUUGAUCUAAGAUCAACAAAUAACUGAUGACCUGAAUAACUCUUGGCUCCAUGUAUCUAAAUGCUUGACAUGUUAAUGAGACACAAGUACAACAAGUAGCAUAAGACAUCUAAAAGACAAUGCUCUUGAGAAGCAUAUAGAACCAAAAACUUUUUGUGAAUUUGUGAAGAGGUAAGCAACAUAGCCAAUGCAAAAGAAGUGCAAAUAUAUCUGCACUAAUUUAGAUUGAUUGAUCUAAGAUCGAAAAAUAACUAAUGACCUGAACUUUUGGCUCCAUGUAUCUAAAUGCUUGACAUGUCAUUAUUUAAUCCUUGACUAACUCAAAGAAUCUUUCAUGGGUAUGUGAUAAUGCCUAAGCUACUCCGAACUAAUCACAUUUCUGAAAUAUCAUGCAUGUUACAGGACCAAAAGAGCCACCUGUAAUACUAAACUUUAACAGUCAUUUGGUAAAAAACUAAACAACUCAAUGAUGCUCUUCAGUAACUCAUGAACCACCCAGUUACUCUGGAGAAAAUCGAUACCUUAAAGUCCUCAAAUUUAUGCCCCAUGAAAAAGCAUAAUUGUUCACCAUUCUCAUCAUCCAUUUUAAAAUAUAUACCACCAAACUAUAUUCCUAAAUCACACUUACUCCACCUGACUUGUAUUCAAUUUAACAAAUUUCAUUUCCCCUCUAACCUCAAGCUACCCAAGCUCAAGAAAGUCCAUAUCUGAGUAUCUCAAAGGACCGCUCAAAAUCCCUAACAAAUCAACACCAAUCGAAACUUAGUCAUGAUAAACACUCAGAAAACAUCAAUGAUUGCCAAGGACAAGGAUACAAACUUUGUUUAUACAGGAACAUCCCAAGCUAUAACAUCUAGUUGAGACAUUUUAAUGGAAAGUACUUCUACCAGCCUCUGAUUGUAUUCACAUUAAAGAGAUUUCUGGCAAAAUGUGAAUUAAUCAAGAAAGUAAAUUCUUCGGAAGCCAACGGCUAGUUUUCUUUCAAGAAACUAAAUUCUUCCUUUGUUCACCUUCUCUCCAAUGGCUACUACAUUCUCCUUUGAGCCUAUUUACAUUACAUUUGCUUAUAAUUCUAGUUCUCACUUUUUUCUACCAAAUCCUCGGAGUCAUCAAUGCGGCUGGCAUGAUAAUUUGAGAAAAAUAAAGAAAACCCAAUAUUUAAUCUCAAUUUCAUAUAUUUUAGAUUUCCAAACUUCAAAAUCCCAGCUCCACUAGGCUCAAUAUUUAUCUUGGUCACCUUAAGCACAAGUUCCCCUCAAUUUCACAUAAAUCUCUGUUUAUUUUCUCUUCACAUAUCGAUCACCCAGUUACAAAACCUAACGGUAUUCUUUUAAAAAAAAAUACAAAACAUUACCACAAAACUUCAAUAAAAUCGAUUAACAAAAUCAUCGUAGUUUCUCAUGUCCCAAGUAUUUUAAAAAAAGACUUGCACUCAAAAUCUUCAAUAAGCCCCAGCAAAAACCCAGAAACAAGAACCAAAAUAAAAACCCAUUACGAAAAUAACUAAAAAACACUAAAUAAUCAUAACCCUUCGAGCACAUACGCAAUUAAGAUUAAAACAAAAGAAAAAACUCAAAAAACCCAUCAAAGGAAACAAAAACAAGAAAAAAAAACCUGAAGACCAGCACGCGAAGAGCGAGAGGUGGGUUUCUUCUUGUCUUUAUCUUUAGAUUGGGCUGGAGUUUUGCUUGUUAACAACCCCUUUGCUCCUUUCCCCGACAUCUUCUCUUCCAAAAACCAAACACACACACAGACUAUGCUCUUGUUUUGUUAGAUUUUCUUAGAUUUGUUCUUUUUGAGACAACGCGAGAUGAACCAACAGGAAGCUCAUAUAAAGUGGUAUGUUAAGGUAAAUACCCUGAAGGAAUGGUACAAUUACAGAACCACCAUUGGUUUGUGGAGUUAUAUAUGGAUUUCUUAAAGGGUAGGAAUGGCAACAUGUACAUUUUAUUCCUGGGACCAAUGAUGUGGCAAGAAAAACCCAGUCAGCAGGUGGAUAUUAUAUCGGUUUAAUGGCAAUAUACGUCCCUCAACUAUUAUUCUUCUUUCAUAUUUAACCCUAUGGUCUUAAAGAAGGCAAUUUAGUCCUUUAAUUUUAGAUAUUUUAUCACUUCAGAUCCCUCAAAUGUGUUAAAAAAAUUGAAAUGAUGACUUUUGACUUGAUUGGGUUUGAGUUGGUCCAGUUGGACCCACUAUGAACGUACAGUGAUUACUGUCUGAAAAAAAACUAAAAUAAAAGGAUGAAAGAAAUAUAUCUUUAUAUUUUUAAAAAAUAUAUAUUCAAAGAAAUAUUUAUUUUAUUUUAUUAACAAAUAUAUGUUCAUCUCUUCUGAAUUUGUCUAUUUUAUUAUGAAACAUUAAUCAAAUAUUUUUUUUUCAAGUAUAAUUUAUAAGUUAUCAUACCUAUUUUUUUCAUAAUUCAUCAACAUCUUUUAAUAAGUUUCCUCUUAAUAACUUAAAGAUUGUGAUUUUAAAUUAUUUUUCAUGCCGAAAAGUAUUAAAAUUAUAUUUUUAUUUUUAAAAAAUUAUUUUUGAGAUUAGCAAAUCAAAAUGAUUUAAAACAUAUAAAAUAUUUAACUUUUAAUAAAAAUUAAAUUAAUAUUUUUUUUAUUUUUUAAAAAUUAUUUUUGAGAUUAGCUAAUCAAAAUGAUUUAAAACAUAUAAAAAAUUUAACUUUUAAUAAAAAUUAAAUUAAUUUUUUAUAAAAAAGAUUUACACCUCAUUCUCAAUUAGUAUUGAUAGAAAAAAAGUUCCUUUCCUACUUUAUUAUCCAUCAACAUCUUCCAAGUGGAAAAAAAAUUCUUUUAAUACUUUGAUGUUUCUUUCCAAAACCCACGUUCAAAUUGAUGAACAAUAACUAAUUUUUUAAUAAAUAUUUUAUUAAAAUUAGAUUUUGUAAUAAAUAAUUCAUUAAUGAUGAUAUAACUAAGAAUAUUGCGUGUUUUUUUAUCAUCAAAACCCCAUGUGAAGAAUACCCCUAUAACAUAAAGAUCCUAUCUAUAGCCUCGAAUUUUCGAAAAAGCAAAAGCUAUAGCAAGGUUUUAUUUAAAAACAUGGGUAGAAUCUUGGUGUCCUGGUGUCCAACAAAAUCCCUUUACAACUUCUCAUUAAAAGCAUAUUUAUUUUUGUAUUUUAAAAUAUUUUUUUAUUUUAAAUUAAAAUUUUUAUUUUUAAAUAAUUUUGAUGUGCUAAUAUAAAAAAUAUUUAAAAAAUAAAAAAAAAACUAUUAUUUUAAUAUAUUUCCAAACAAAAAUUACUUUAAAAAACAAUUAUCACAUUCUCAACCAUUCUAAAAUAAAAAAUAAAUUCAGUCAUAAAUUUUGUUUUGCAUGUACAGACCUCAUCUCUAUGCAUGCAAUGAACUAUGCCUCCUAGACACUACAAUUUUAAUUUUAUACUAUUAAACAUCUUGGCAAGGAAAAAAAAAAAAAACACAGAAUGCAAGGGUUUAGAGAAUAGUCACACACAAGGUAAAGACAUCAAAAUAUACACUAAUAAACCUCAGAUAUCUAAAUUAAUAAUAAUAAUAAAACAAAUUAUAAUGCAACUUCACCACCAUCACACGCCACCUUCACCGUCACAUCGCGACCUUCACCACGAGCUACUUGUUAACGAAUAAAGUGAGCGCCAAUCUUGAUGUGCUUGGUUCGAUAGUGAAAUACAAUAUUCUUUGCGUAGGGACAAGAACAGAGAGGCCAAGCAUCUUGAAUAAAUUGACAUACUACAUGAGUUUAGGUAUGGUGGAAGCAAGGGAUCUGUAUUUAGCUUCAGCAGUUGAUCUAGAGAUGGUAGCUUGUUUCUUAGCCCCCAAGAGAUGAGAUUAUGACCAAUAAAAACUGCAAAACCAGUGGUUGAUCGUCGAUCAGCUACAGAACCAUACCGAAGAAAGAGUCAGGACAAUUUAAAAUAAGGAUAAAAAAACUCCUCCCCAACUAAGAUCCUUUUGUCUAAUCAGUGUUCUUGUUGUUUGUUUGGAAUUUUUAAUAAAAUAAUAUCUACAAAACAUUCUUAAUUAAUCUAAUAUAUAUAUAUAUAUAUAUUAAUAUUAAAUUAUUUAAUUUUUAAGAAACUAAACUUCAAAGAAGAAGAAGAAGAAACUAGCUUAUUCCAAGACAUUCUUUUGUUUAACCUAUUUUAAAACCUCUUAUAAAACGUGAAAAUAAAUUAUAGAGAGUAAAAAUGAAAGAAAAGUAAUUGAAAAUAUAUGCUAGAACCUUCCUUUUCAACCUAAAAAUCACAAUUUGCAAGCUGUCACAAACGAAGCAAUGCAUUGUUCAAUUACACAGCAAUCCAUCCUAUGUGUUCUUAAUAAUGCAAAGGACCGAAAUAGCAUUAUUCCUUGGAGGAUUUGUUGAUUAGCGACUUGUGGAUGUGAGGGAUCACACCACCACCAGCUAUGGUUCCUUUUAUAAGGGUGUCUAGCUCUUCAUCACCACGGAUUGCUAACUGCAAAUGCCUCGGUGUUAUACGUUUUACCUUCAGAUCCUUGCUUGCAUUUCCUGCCAGCUCCAACACUUCUGCCGUCAGGUACUCCAAGAUAGCAGCAGAGUACACGGCUGCCGUUGCUCCCACUCUUCCAUGGGCUGUUGCUCUUGACUUCAGAAGGCGGUGGAUACGCCCGACAGGA
This 6266-nucleotide long non-coding RNA is filed under the name Populus tremula. Its description in RNAcentral is "long non-coding RNA (PTRE_LNC001564)". Lineage: Eukaryota; Viridiplantae; Streptophyta; Magnoliopsida; Malpighiales; Salicaceae. The record is from RNAcentral.